UCAUCUUUGCAUAUGAGGUUGA
This 22-nucleotide non-coding RNA is filed under the name Arabidopsis thaliana (thale cress). Lineage: Eukaryota; Viridiplantae; Streptophyta; Magnoliopsida; Brassicales; Brassicaceae. The record is from RNAcentral.